This 934-nucleotide ribosomal RNA is filed under the name bacterium enrichment culture clone L11_1_42. RNAcentral describes it as "bacterial SSU rRNA". It matches the Rfam family "Bacterial small subunit ribosomal RNA", at positions 8 to 916 of the family's 1533-position model. The record is from RNAcentral.
AGAGUUUGAUCAUGGCUCAGAGGGAACGCUGGCGGCGUGUUUACACAUGCAAGUCGUGCGCGAAAAUCCGAUUUCGAUUGGAUGAUUAGAGCGGCGAACGGGUGAGUAACGCGUAGGUAAUCUGCCCUUUAGCCCGGCAUAACACUCCCAACGGGGUGCUAAUACCGGAUGUGGUUGUUUUUCCUUCGGGAAUGAUUACUAAAGGUGGCCUCUUUACAAUGCUACCGCUAAAGGAUGGGCCUGCGUCCUAUCAGCUUGUUUGGUGAGGUAACGGCUCACCAAGGCGAAGACGGGUAGCUGGUCUGAGAGGAUGACCAGUCACACGGGGACUGAGACACGGCCCCGACUCCUACGGGAGGCAGCAGUGGGGAAUAUUGCCCAAUGGCCGAAAGGCUGAGGCAGCGACGCCGCGUGGAGGAUGAAAUCCCUCGGGAUGUAAACUCCUUUUACGUGGGAAGAACAAGCGCGAUGCGAAUAGUGUCGCGCCCUGACGGUACCAUUUGAAUAAGCUCCGGCCAACUACGUGCCAGCAGCCGCGGUAAUACGUAGGGAGCGAGCGUUGCUCGGAUUCACUGGGUUUAAAGGACGCGUAGGCGGAUUAGCAAGUCGGGUGUGAAAUCUUCGGGCUUAACCUGAAAAUCGCGCUCGAUACUACUGGUCUCGAGUGGAGCAGAGGGAAACGGAAUUCCUGGUGUAACGGUGGAAUGUGUAGAUAUCAGGAGGAACGCCGAUAGCGAAGGCAGUUUCCUGGGCUCUUACUGACGCUCAGGCGUGAAAGCGUGGGGAGCGAACAGGAUUAGAUAUCCUGGUAGUCCACGCUGUAAACGAUGGGUGCUAGUUGUUGGGGGAGGUUGCCCUCAGUGACGCAGUUAACGCGAUAAGCACCCCACCUGGGGAGUACGGCCGCAAGGUUGAAACUCAAAGGAAUUGACGG